RNAcentral lists this ribosomal RNA (253 nucleotides) under uncultured bacterium. Its description in RNAcentral is "partial 16S ribosomal RNA". It matches the Rfam family "Bacterial small subunit ribosomal RNA", at positions 524 to 776 of the family's 1533-position model. The record is from RNAcentral.
UACGAGUGGCCCAAGCGUUAUUCGGAAUCACUGGGCUUAAAGCGUGCGCAGGCGGACCCGUAGGCAUCUCGUGAAAUCCCACGGCUCAACCGUGGAACAGCGGGGUGAACCACGGGUCUCGAGGCGGGUAGGGGUCAGCGGAACUAUGGGUGGAGCGGUGAAAUGCGUAGAUAUCCAUGGGAACGCCGAUGGCGAAGGCAGCUGACUGGGCCUGUCCUGACGCUCAGGCACGAAAGCGUGGGUAGCAAACGGG